Molecule: ribosomal RNA, 423 nt
Filed under: uncultured Clostridium sp.
Lineage: Bacteria; Bacillati; Bacillota; Clostridia; Eubacteriales; Clostridiaceae
Description: bacterial SSU rRNA
Rfam family: Bacterial small subunit ribosomal RNA
Source: RNAcentral
UGGGGGAAUAUUGGACAAUGGGGGAAACCCUGAUCCAGCGACGCCGCGUGAGUGAAGAAGUAUUUCGGUAUGUAAAGCUCUAUCAGCAGGGAAGAAAAUGACGGUACCUGACUAAGAAGCCCCGGCUAACUACGUGCCAGCAGCCGCGGUAAUACGUAGGGGGCAAGCGUUAUCCGGAUUUACUGGGUGUAAGGGGAGCGUAGACGGCAUGGCAAGUCUGAAGUGAAAUGCCAGGGCUUAACCCUGGAACUGCUUUGGAAACUGUCUAGCUAGAGUGCAGGAGAGGUAAGUGGAAUUCCUAGUGUAGCGGUGAAAUGCGUAGAUAUUAGGAGGAACACCAGUGGCGAAGGCGGCUUGCUGGACUGUAACUGACGUUGAGGCUCGAAGGCGUGGGGAGCAAACAGGAUUAGAUACCCUGGUAGU